Molecule: RNA transcript, 4701 nt
Organism: Perca fluviatilis (European perch)
Lineage: Eukaryota; Metazoa; Chordata; Actinopteri; Perciformes; Percidae
Gene: prkag3b
Gene name: protein kinase, AMP-activated, gamma 3b non-catalytic subunit
Exons: 12
Source: RefSeq, a predicted model, not a curated record
GCCACCUGAAGUUCUCGCCGAUGAUUGAUAAAGAACAACCUAAUAUCUGUCACCAUAAAAACAUAUUGGGUAUCUGUCUCUCCUACAUGUUUCCCCUCCCACUCUCUCUCGCUCUCCCCCUCUCUCUCUCUCUCUGUGUGAAUGCCAAAGGCCUCUCAACCCUCAGUCCAGAUUUAGACCUCAGCUUUUCCCAGACAUUCAGACCCAGCUGGCUGGAGUUGCUGGCCGGUAGUGUACAGAUUCCCUUGUCUCCCUCGUUCUUCCUCUCCUUCUCUGCUCUUCUUUGCCAUGCCUGGACUCUUUCAUCACUUUUUUUAUCUCAUCUGGUAGGAAUGCCUGCCGGAUGUCUGAGUUGGACAGCGGGCCAAGGGUUGUAGUCCAGGGCCUCGCCAGUCGUUCUGGUUCCACAGAGGCAGACUUCCUGCUCCACUUGCCCAACCAUGGAGCCUCUCGCAGAGGUGGCCGUACAUAUGCAACAGAUGCUUUUGCGCCCUCUGCAGACACAGACCCUGAGACGUUUAUAUACAUGAACUUCAUGAAGAGUCACUGCUGCUAUGAUGCCAUCCCCACCAGCUCCAAACUGGUCAUUUUUGACACAACACUACAGGUGAAGAAGGCUUUCUUCGCUCUCGUGGCUAACGGUGUGAGGGCAGCACCACUGUGGGACAGCAAGCAGAAGUGUUUUGUGGGUAUGCUGACCAUCACUGACUUCAUCAACAUUCUCCAUCGUUAUUACAAGUCUCCUCUGGUUCAGAUCUAUGAGCUGGAAGAGCAGAAGAUAGAGACAUGGAGAGAGAUCUAUCUGCAGUACUCUGUCAACAGACUGAUCAGCAUCACUCCUGACUGCAGUCUGUUUGAUGCCAUCUACUCCUUGUUGAAGAAUAAGAUUCACCGGCUGCCGAUCAUCGACCCGACAUCAGGAAAUGUCCUCCAUAUCCUCACACACAAACGCAUCCUCAAGUUCCUCCACAUCUUUGGAUCUAUGAUUCCUAAACCCAGAUUUCUUCAGAAGCGGAUCAAUGAAGUGGCGAUUGGUACCUUCAGACAGAUUGCGACAGUCCAGGAAACGGCCUCUGUCUAUGACGCUCUGUCCAUUUUUGUAGAGAGAAGAGUGUCUGCGCUGCCUGUAGUCAAUGAGCAAGGUAAAGUCGUGGCGCUGUACUCCAGGUUUGAUGUCAUUAAUCUCGCAGCCCAAAAAAACUACAACAACCUGAACAUGACAAUGCAGGAGGCCAUUUCCUCCAGGGCCUGCUUUAUGGAGGGAGUGCUCAAGUGUUACCCUUACGAAACACUUGAGACCAUCAUCGACCGCAUCGCCAAGGCUGAGGUGCAUCGUUUGGUGUUGGUUGACAGUGAUGACGCGGUGAGAGGGAUUGUCUCUUUAUCCGACCUUCUCCAAGCCCUGGUUCUCACUCCUGCAGGUAUUGAUGCACUGUACUCCUAACGCCAAUCCUUCAAUUCAUCCCUUCUUUCCCUCAAUCUUCGGUUAUCUGUCCGUCUACCUUCAAAUCCUCGAAGCUUCCUGCUCCUUCUGUUGAUCUGUGCUCCUUUUCCUGUAAAAAACUCUUCUUCAUCUUCAACUUUUCGUCCUCCUAAAGACAUUAAGGGUCUUUCUUCUCUUCCUGUGAAAUGUCCUGAUGUCAGAGAUCCAACUCUGUCAAUUUCCUCCUUCCCUGAAUUCUCCUGAUCCUUUCAAGCAUACUUACCACGACUGUCUCCUUCUGCUCCUUCAAAAUCAACCAACCAUCCGAUCUGAAACUCUCAUUGGGGACAAACAUCCUUACAUUUCUUCUUCUAAAACUCUCAUUUGAAGCAUUCAACUAAAUGUUUCCAGAGCGUGCUCUGAUCGAUCCUGCACCUGGAAAAAUAAACAAACGCCCCCUGCCCAGCCACAAUCAACUUUGCUUUCACGAUCAAAUUCUUAAUCUUCCAAUCCAACUUUAAAACCAGUUCAGUUACCGCCACCAAAAUCCUGCAAUCCUACCAACCAACCAACCAAGUUUCCUUAUCGUCUACGUUCUACAAAGUCUGACACCCCCCCCCCCCCAACGUCUUCACGCUGCAGUCCCUCCUCUGAAACCACCAUGCCAACAGCACCUCUUAGCCAACACAUCCCAGAUAUUUACGAUAAAUCGAGCUGUCAAGACUGAAGAAAACAAGAUGAAGAUUGACCACAUUAAACAAGACUCUGAGGUGGCAAAAUAAAUUUGCAGAGCAGGGCUGUGGCUGAGAAGUCACUGGUUUCAAUCCCAGUCUGGAGGAAAAAUAUGGAAAGAGAAAGUGAAAAUCACUCUUCUCUAUGAGCACCAAUACUGUGCCCUGGGAAGUGUGUGCUGGGAAGUUACCAGUGUUGAACUUUAUCACGGGUGUGACUGGAAAGCAGCGUUGAACUGAUGAUGCACACAUCAAGAGACUUUUAAACUUGACUUAUUAAGCAUCAAAUUUGAGUUUAUUUAGCAAGUUCUGUUAACUUGGAAAUUGAGUUGUUGAUACGACAUGUAAAAAAAGUGGUUUUGACUUUCUAGUCUUGGAAUGAUUUAAAAUUAGUCAUUCAUAUAUUGGAAAUAUUGGAUCUCUGGAAUUAGUUUUUGUUUUUUAGCACAAGGAAAAUAUGCAAAACAAGAAAGGGAAAAAGUAUACAAUGGUGAUGGUAAAAAUAUGCCACAACACGAACAUCAAACCCAAUCAAUAAAAGAAUAGACCAUUAAAAUGAUAAUCAAGAGACAUCGUCAUCAGAAGAAGAGCACAAACGAGCAAGGCAAGAGACAUUUCAAGGCAAGGAGCGAGAUAUAGAUAGAUGUAUACGAUCUUUUAGACUUUCUAUUCAUUUCUACCAUAUAUCUCAGGAUGGGAAUCGCUUUACAGAUUUUUGUUAUUGGAUCUUGGAAUUGUGAUCACAUUUUUGUAAAUGCACUUAUGUUUUAAUCACUGUGAAAAAAAGAAUAAAUGUUUUGCUUUAAAGUGUACUGGUAACUACAAUACGUAGAGACACUGUAGUUUAAUUUGAUAUGGUGAAGAACCCUCAGUGUAAUCUAGGACAGUUGCUGGAUCAAAUACAAGGGUUAUAGCUCAAUAAUAACAAGGUAAUAAGGGGGUUAAUACUAAAUGAACAGUGUAAUACCAUUGCAAUUACAACUAUAAUGUAUAGGCGGACUGGCAAUGCAAUAAGAGCCGAUGCACUCUUGGGCCGAUUUGGGCCGCUGGGAAAAAAAAAAAAAAAUUUGCAACACUGGUGUUUCACACUAGUUUGAGUAAAAUAUGCAAGACUGUACGGCUGCAGCCUGGAGCCUCCUGUCUGGUGCCGUCGGGCUUCUACUUUAUAAAAUAAAAGCUUGCGUCUACUAUGUCUUCGUACUUUUGUGUUUUGGGUGUUUAAGUAUGUAAUAAUAUGUUUUAAAUAUGCAAGCAUUUCCAUCGUAUUCGAAGAUGGUGCCUUGGUAGUUUAUUUGAAGGUGUUAUGAAUUGUGUGAAUUAUUUCAUUUUGAAAGCCUGUAAGUGCGCCUCAUGCUGCUGGUGCCAUAAUCUCACGUGAGCCUGGUUUUUGCAAUUAUAAAGCAAAUAAUGUCCCUGUAAGAAAUUGGGCCAGUAAGGGACGGAAUUACCAGGUACAAAUUUUUGUCCCAGUCCGCCCUUGUAGCCUGGUAAUAUCUUGGUAAUAAUUAGUGGUGAUAUUGUGGUUCAAUCUUUGUAAUAGGGUAAUAAUGGAGCAAAAAGAUUAGAGUAAUAUCGGGUAAUAAAAACAAGACAACGUAAGGUGGAUAAGCAGGUUAGCAAGCUACUAUAUUAGAAAAUAGGGAAACGGGUAAUUAUAAGGGAUAACAAAAUGUAAUAUGCUUACAAUGUGAAAGUGAUAUUAAAGGUGCAGUAGGUAAGACUUAUAAAACUAACUUGCUGUCAUAUUUGCUGAAACUGACCCUAAGUUCUAGUAGAACUACAUGAAUCAGGUAAUAUGUUAAUCACUGCUCAUCACGCAUUCAUUCUCCCUUGUGGGGGGAGGGGCUUAGGAGACCGGUUUGGGCUUUAGCGGAAAGGGGGGAGGGACUGAGAAGUUGUCAAUGUUCACAUUUUUUGGCUAAGGCCUGGAUCUUCUCAAUCCUACCUACAGCACCUUUAAUGUUAUGUUUUUGCAGUAACCAUAGGUAAGUAUCAGUAUAAAAGCCUCAGAAUUACAUGGGAAUUUCUGUUAAAUUUACACUUUAAUCGGUGUGAUUUCCUCUAAGUGAUUUGGUAAUAAUUCUUUAAACUUAACACCAAAAGCCAGAGGUCAUUCACUGGAAACACAUCUGGUGGUUUCAGUGAAAUAAAUGAAUUAAAAUGAAUGAAUGAAUUAUGGCGGGAAAAUACCUGUGUUUUUAUUUAUUUAUUUUUUUUAAGUUAUCUUCAAUCCAAAUGCUGUCUGCUGAUCCUCUCUGACUGACGAUGUGUCACUGCUCUGUUUACCAGGGGUGGGUUUGUUAACUCUACCACUUCCAUACAUCCUGGUACAUCUCAUGAUUACCAGGCUACAUGACACACACACACACACACACACACACACACGCAUACACACACACACACACGUACACGCACACACUAGGUAAAUAGCUCUGCCUCUGCAGAGGAAGUCGGAAAGCUUUGAGCGACAAGUUAAUGCAUUGCUGGUUUAAUUCUUGUUGUGGGAUGUUUUUACAAUAACUAUGAUAUAAAAUAUUGCCAGACUUA